RNAcentral lists this non-coding RNA (165 nucleotides) under uncultured Dysosmobacter sp. RNAcentral describes it as "Lysine riboswitch". It matches the Rfam family "Lysine riboswitch aptamer". From Rfam's summary of the family: Riboswitches are metabolite binding domains within certain messenger RNAs that serve as precision sensors for their corresponding targets. Allosteric rearrangement of mRNA structure is mediated by ligand binding, and this results in modulation of gene expression. This family includes riboswitches that sense lysine in a number of genes involved in lysine metabolism, including lysC. Lineage: Bacteria; Bacillati; Bacillota; Clostridia; Eubacteriales; Oscillospiraceae. The record is from RNAcentral.
GAGAUAGAGGCGCGGGGUCCAUCAGUACCGCUCCGGCAAGGCCAGGCAGCCGCCGGAUGGGAAAGGGAACGCCGCCGAAGCUGCGGAAGGGUGCCUGCCCGCCUGCGGCUGGGCCGGGAGAGAAGAUCUGCCGGACUGUCACAAAGACUUUGUGAAGCGCUAUCA